This 87-nucleotide transfer RNA is filed under the name Cardiobacteriaceae bacterium. RNAcentral's name for it is "tRNA-Leu". It matches the Rfam family "tRNA". Rfam says of the family: Transfer RNA (tRNA) molecules are approximately 80 nucleotides in length. Their secondary structure includes four short double-helical elements and three loops (D, anti-codon, and T loops). Further hydrogen bonds mediate the characteristic L-shaped molecular structure. tRNAs have two regions of fundamental functional importance: the anti-codon, which is responsible for specific mRNA codon recognition, and the 3' end, to which the tRNAs corresponding amino acid is attached (by aminoacyl-tRNA synthetases). tRNAs cope with the degeneracy of the genetic code in two manners: having more than one tRNA (with a specific anti-codon) for a particular amino acid; and 'wobble' base-pairing, i.e. permitting non-standard base-pairing at the 3rd anti-codon position. Lineage: Bacteria; Pseudomonadati; Pseudomonadota; Gammaproteobacteria; Cardiobacteriales; Cardiobacteriaceae. The record is from RNAcentral.
GCCCGGAUGGCGAAACUGGUAGACGCAAGGGACUUAAAAUCCCUCGGUAGUGAUACUGUGCCGGUUCGACCCCGGCUCCGGGCACCA